GAUGAAGAACGUAGUGAAAUGCGAUACGUAAUGUGAAUUGCAGAAUUCAGUGAAUCAUCGAAUCUUUGAACGCAUAUUGCGCUCUUUGGUAUUCCGGAGAGCAUGCUUGUUUGAGUAUCAGUAAACACCUCAACUCCCUUUUCUUUUUUGAAAUUGGAGCUGGACUUGAGUGAUCCCAACGCUUUCUUCCAAGAAAGUGGCGGGUUGCUUGAAAUGCAGGUGCAGCUGAACUUUUCUCUGAGCUAUAAGCAUAUCUAUUUAGUCUGCCUAAAAAACAGAUUAUUACCUUUGCUGCAGCUAACAUAAAGGAGACUAGUUCUUGUGCUGACUGAUGCAGGAUUCACAGAGACAGCUUCGGCUGACUUUGUAAACUCGAUCUCAAAUCAAGUAAGACUACCCGCUGAACUUAAGCAUAUCAAUAAGCGGAGGA
RNAcentral lists this unclassified non-coding RNA (430 nucleotides) under soil metagenome. RNAcentral describes it as "partial contains 5.8S ribosomal RNA, internal transcribed spacer 2, and large subunit ribosomal RNA". The stretch from base 1 to 120 matches the Rfam family "5.8S ribosomal RNA", at positions 35 to 154 of the family's 154-position model. The record is from RNAcentral.